AAUUCUCAACGAUGGAUAUCUUGGUUCCCGUAACGAUGAAGAACGCAGCGAAGUGCGAUAAGCAAUGCGAAUUGCAGAACCGUGAGUCAUCAGAUUUUUGAACGCAAUUG
Molecule: ribosomal RNA, 110 nt
Filed under: Pseudokeronopsis carnea
Lineage: Eukaryota; Ciliophora; Spirotrichea; Urostylida; Pseudokeronopsidae
Description: 5.8S ribosomal RNA
Rfam family: 5.8S ribosomal RNA
About the family: 5.8S ribosomal RNA (5.8S rRNA) is a component of the large subunit of the eukaryotic ribosome.
Source: RNAcentral